This 253-nucleotide ribosomal RNA is filed under the name uncultured prokaryote. RNAcentral describes it as "partial 16S ribosomal RNA". It matches the Rfam family "Bacterial small subunit ribosomal RNA", at positions 524 to 776 of the family's 1533-position model. The record is from RNAcentral.
GACAGAGGGUGCAAGCGUUGUUCGGAAUUACUGGGCGUAAAGGGCGUGUAGGCGGUCUGGUAAGUGGGAUGUGAAAUGCCCCGGCUCACCCGGGGACCUGCAUCCCAAACUACCUGGCUUGAGUAUGGGAGAGGAUGAGGGAAUUCCUGGUGUAGCGGUGAAAUGCGUAGAUAUCAGGAGGAACACCGGUGGCGAAGGCGCACACCUGGCCCGAUACUGACGCUGAGGCGCGAAAGCUAGGGGAGCAAACGGG